Non-coding RNA from Chlorocebus sabaeus (green monkey), 209 nucleotides. It matches the Rfam family "Metazoan signal recognition particle RNA". From Rfam's summary of the family: The signal recognition particle (SRP) is a universally conserved ribonucleoprotein. It is involved in the co-translational targeting of proteins to membranes. NCBI's taxonomy places the organism in Eukaryota, Metazoa, Chordata, Mammalia, Primates, Cercopithecidae. The record is from Rfam.
GCUGGGCGUGGUGGCGGGUGCCUAUAGUCUCAGCUACUCAGGAGGCUGAGGCAGGGGAAUUGCUUGAACCAGGGAGGUGGAGGUUGCAGUGAGCCGAGAUCAUGCCAUUGCACUCCAGCCUGNNNNNNNNNNCAGGCUGGAGUGCAAUGGCAUGAUCUCGGCUCACUGCAACCUCCACCUCCCUGGUUCAAGCAAUUCCCCUGCCUCAG